This 755-nucleotide ribosomal RNA is filed under the name uncultured Sulfurimonas sp. Its description in RNAcentral is "bacterial SSU rRNA". It matches the Rfam family "Bacterial small subunit ribosomal RNA", at positions 627 to 1380 of the family's 1533-position model. Lineage: Bacteria; Pseudomonadati; Campylobacterota; Epsilonproteobacteria; Campylobacterales; Sulfurimonadaceae. The record is from RNAcentral.
UUGAAACUGGCAACCUAGAGUAUGGGAGGGGGAGAUGGAAUUAGUGGUGUAGGGGUAAAAUCCGUAGAUAUCACUAGGAAUAUCAAAAGCGAAGGCGAUCUCCUGGAACAUUACUGACGCUAAGGCGUGAAAGCGUGGGGAGCAAACAGGAUUAGAUACCCUGGUAGUCCACGCCCUAAACGAUGAACACUAGUCGUCGGGAUGCUAGUCAUCUCGGUGAUGCACUUAACAGAUUAAGUGUUCCGCCUGGGGAGUACGGUCGCAAGAUUAAAACUCAAAGGAAUAGACGGGGACCCGCACAAGUGGUGGAGCAUGUGGUUUAAUUCGAAGAUACGCGAAAAACCUUACCUAGCCUUGACAUUGAUAGAAUUCUGUAGAGAUACGGAAGUGCCCUUCGGGGAACUUGAAAACAGGUGCUGCACGGCUGUCGUCAGCUCGUGUCGUGAGAUGUUGGGUUAAGUCCCGCAACGAGCGCAACCCUCGUCUUUAGUUGCCAGCAGUUCGGCUGGGCACUCUAAAGAGACUGCCUUCGCAAGAAGGAGGAAGGUGAGGACGACGUCAAGUCAUCAUGGCCCUUAUGGCUAGGGCUACACACGUGCUACAAUGGGGCGUACAGAGAGUUGCGAUACCGCGAGGUGGAGCCAAUCUCACAAAGCGUCUCUCAGUUCGGAUUGAAGUCUGCAACUCGACUUCAUGAAGCUGGAAUCACUAGUAAUCGUAGAUCAGCAUAAAUACGGUGAAUACGUUCCCGGGUC